Molecule: long non-coding RNA, 850 nt
Organism: Salvia splendens (bonfire salvia)
Lineage: Eukaryota; Viridiplantae; Streptophyta; Magnoliopsida; Lamiales; Lamiaceae
Exons: 3
Source: RefSeq, a predicted model, not a curated record
ACUAAUAUAAUACUAAACACUAUCUAAUAAAAGAAAAACAAUAUCAACUAAUUACCAUUUAUUUUUAAUUUCAACAAUCUUUUUCUCUACCGUGUGCAAUUCUCCCCCAUUAGUGAACCUCUUCAUUGCCAUAACAGUAGCCUCUUUCAAUAUUUUCCCAAAUUAAAUCUCACCUCACCGUUGCAUAUACUGAAACGCUUCACCUGGACCUCCCCUUCCACGUCAAAGACCUCUUCACCGAGCUCCAAAUCGGCGAUGUCGAAUAGAAAAAAGGCAUACAGUUCCGCUCAGUUCUUUUUUCUCCAGAUCUAAUUCUCCUUCAAAAAUCACAAAAUUGCAGAGAGAGAAAUGUAAAACCCCUCCCACUCUCUUUAUUCUCCUCGAAUUUUCAGAAUAAUUGUAAAGCGAGUGAAGUUUGGGAAGAAAUUUUGGGAGUAUUGGAUGCCAAGAAGGAAGAAAUGUGGCAAGGACGAAAGAAAGAUUGAGACGAAGAGAGAAGACCCAGUACAAAAACUCCAUUUGCAGUGGUCGGCGCAAGGAUAAAAAAGUUUUUCGGCGAAUAUGGAACAUAAUUCGGGCUAGAUAAACUUAGUGAUGUAGUGGGUAAGUGGUAGAGACGAAGUAGAGAGUGAAUAUUUCCAUGGGUCGGAGUGGUGGCUGCUCGUCAGAGUAAUGUGGAGAAACGAGCGGCGGCGCGCGGGAUUUCUAAUUCUAGGUAAUGAAAGCUCCUGCACGACGUCGUGGUUUGGGUUGGGAUUUCUUUUUGGUAAGAAUCAUGCGUGUGUUAUUUUAAUGUAUUUUCAAAUAUAUUCAAGACAUCAAGUAGUACUCCCUUGCAAAAAUAUUAAAA